Molecule: long non-coding RNA, 1256 nt
Filed under: Suricata suricatta (meerkat)
Lineage: Eukaryota; Metazoa; Chordata; Mammalia; Carnivora; Herpestidae
Description: lncRNA (ENSSSUG00005000129.1)
Source: RNAcentral
UAGUUUGUUCAUUCAUUUUCAAAUACUUAUUUUUGCCUGCUCUGAAUCAGGUGUUGCGGAAUACAGUUUGGGCUCUGUUCUUAUGGGGCAUACCGUCUGUGGCUUGUUCCCAGUGACCAGUACCUCCACUCCCUCAGCUCCAUCAGCAAUGCUGGUUCCUGCAUACCUCCGGCUGAGGCUGCCACGAAACAGGACAACCAAAGGCCAAGUUUAUUGUUGCUGUCGUGUCUCUCAUUCUCUUCAAAAGCCAGCUGAUCUUACUAUUUGCUCCAUUUAAUGUGUGAACUUCACUGUGCAAAUGAAAUAUAUGGAAUCUGGAAUUUUCUUCAGACCAGGGACUUUUAAUUUCACCAAGUCUUAGGUAAGUUUCUGUCUUUUGUGAUAAACGUAUAUUUACAGGUAGAUUUUUUUCCUUUUCGUGGAAUAUUUUUAGAUGUUCAAUCAGUUUCUCUGAAAUUAUAGAACUUUAAAAUAACUGCAAAGAUUUGCCUUUCACUGAGUGUGAUUUUCCCCCCUUUUUUUCUCAACUUACCCGAGGUAUAGAACUAGAAGGCUAUAUAUUUUUUAAAAGGCCACCUCAGGCUGGGUAAAAGCAAAAUUUAUGGUCCUAGCUUCCUCUACAACAUAGGCAGCUUAGCUUUGCUUAAGACUAUUGUGCUUGAGGGGCGCCUGGGUGGCUUGGUUGGUUAAGUGUCCAGCUUCGGCUCAGGUCAUGAUCUCGUGGUUUGUGGGUUUGAGCCCCAUGUCAGGCUCUGUGCUGACAGCUCAGAGCCUGGAGCCUGCUUCGGAUUCUGUGUCUCCCUCUCUCUCUGACCCUCCCCUGCUCGUGCUGUCUCUGUCUCUCAAAAAUAAAUAAAAAACAUAAAAAAUUUUUGAAAAAAAAAGACUAUUGUGCUUGAGCUCCAAAUCUACAAAUCCAAGACAACUGUAAUCCAAAACCAGUAUGGUUUUCUUCUUCCCAAUAGCAGUAGCAACCAUUAUUAAGCACCUCCUGUAUGUCAGAUACAGUGUUGAUUGCUUUAUAUGUCACCUAAUUUUCAUAAUUGAGUGAAUUGUGAUUCCCAUUUUACAGAAGAGAAAAUUGAAGCUUAGAGCUACUAGCAAUUUGAACAACUAGUAAGUGGUAGAGAGAUAAUUUGGAUGCAGAACUGAUUCCAUCGCCUCUGCUCUUUUCACUACACCUUGCAGUGUCAGUGCCUUGUAUUGCCGGGAAUUGUCUUUCAGGAAUAUUGGGGCUUGCACUCAUGACCUUGGCA